Molecule: ribosomal RNA, 446 nt
Filed under: uncultured bacterium
Lineage: Bacteria
Description: bacterial SSU rRNA
Rfam family: Bacterial small subunit ribosomal RNA
Source: RNAcentral
AUUGAACGCUGGCGGCAUGCCUAACACAUGCAAGUCGAGCGGGGUCCAUCCAGUGGCAACACUGGGGAAGACCUAGCGGCGAACGGGUGAGUAACACGUGAGAAACCUGCCCUGAACUCUGGGAUAACCCGAGGAAACUCGAGCUAAUACCGGAUGUCCCCACCAGAUCGCAUGGUCCGGUGAGGAAAGAUUUAUCGGUUCAGGAGGGUCUCGCGGCCUAUCAGCUAGUUGGCGGGGUAACGGCCCACCAAGGCAUCGACGGGUAGCUGGUCUGAGAGGACGAUCAGCCACACUGGGACUGAGACACGGCCCAGACUCCUACGGGAGGCAGCAGUGGGGAAUAUUGCGCAAUGGGCGAAAGCCUGACGCAGCAACGCCGCGUGCGGGAUGACGGCCUGGUGUAACGACUUCUAUGGCGAAACGAGACGGUACCGACACGAAGAAGA